CAGCAGCCGCGGUAAUACCGGCGGCCCGAGUGGCGGCCACUAUUAUUGGGCUUAAAGCGUCCGUAGCCGGGUUGGUUAGUCUCCCGGGAAAUCUGGCCGCUUAACGGUCAGAAUUCCGGGAGAUACUGCCAGCCUAGGGACCGGGAGAGGCCGAGGGUAUUCCCGGAGUAGGGGUGAAAUCCUAUAAUCCCGGGAGGACCACCUGUGGCGAAGGCGCUCGGCUGGAACGGGUCCGACGGUGAGGGACGAAGGCCAGGGGAGCAAACCGGAUUAGAUACCCGGGUAGUCCUGGCUGUAAACGAUGCGGGCUAGAUGUUGGGCGGGCCUCGAGCCCGCCCAGUGUCGUAGGGAAGCCGUUAAGCCCGCCGCCUGGGGAGUACGGCCGCAAGGCUGAAACUUAAAGGAAUUGGCGGG
RNAcentral lists this ribosomal RNA (414 nucleotides) under uncultured microorganism. RNAcentral describes it as "bacterial SSU rRNA". It matches the Rfam family "Archaeal small subunit ribosomal RNA", at positions 459 to 872 of the family's 1478-position model. The record is from RNAcentral.